UGAAUCCCACUUAGUAAAGUCUAACCAACAACUAGCACUUAGAUCCUACGCCGAAGCAGUAAUGUAAGGUUUAAGCGUAAUCAAAGGAACAUUCAAGCCGGAAGUGUAUACUGAAGUUAUUAGCCUCGAAAGGCAGAGUUUGGAAAGGUCGAUGGUUUUGGAGAAUCAGAAGACAACAUUGAUUACAUCGUAAAGGUGAGAUGUAAUCAACUUUCCCGGGGUUGUAAGACCU
This is a non-coding RNA of Haloplasma contractile SSD-17B, 232 nucleotides long. NCBI's taxonomy places the organism in Bacteria, Bacillati, Mycoplasmatota, Mollicutes, Haloplasmatales, Haloplasmataceae. The record is from Rfam.